CUGUCUAACGUUAAUAGCCAUUUUUAAAUUAACGUGAUAAGUUUCAAGUAAACAAAGAUUUAACUCAUGUAAUUUAUGUAUGUCUGGAGAAAGAAAAUUUUUCUUCGUUACAUGUGUACGUGAUAUCUACUAACAAAUGUUUAAACGAUGAUAAUAUUGAUAUUUAACGUGAUGUAGUUCCUACACCGUCUACUAUUCGUAAAAGCAUCUACGUGAUUCGAAGUAUAGUAAUUUGUUAAAGUUAAUGUAAAAUGGAAACGAAAAUUGACGGUGAACGAACUCAUUCCAUAAAAUUGCCAAGUGCGGUCGAAGUGUUUGCAAAUUUAAAAAAUGCUCAAAAAUUUGCGAUUGACAUUGGUUUAUCUUUGACAAAAAUAGCUUAUUAUUCAACAAUUAGUUACCGUAAGGCAUUGUAUGAGGAUGCAGGCUUAGGAAAUAGUGGAGAACGUGCAUACAAAGUACAUGAAGGCAAUAGACUUCACUUUGUUAAGUUUGAAACAAGAUAUAUUGAAAAUUGUUUGGAUUUUGUAAAACAGAACUUAGUAGAUGUUGAGAGAUUUCAUGGUAAAAAUAUUAAAGUGACUGGUGGAGGAGCUUACAAAUAUAAUGGUUUGCUACAAGAAAAAUUAGGUUUAAUAGUUGAUAAAGAAGAUGAAAUUGCUUGUCUAAUAAAAGGUUGUAAUUUUUUACUGAAAAAUAUAUCUUGUGAAGCGUUUGAAUUUGAAAGACAAGGAAAUCCUGAAUACAAAUUUCAAAAAGCUGGUCCUAAUAUAUUUCCAUAUAUGUUAGUAAAUAUUGGUAGCGGUGUCAGUGUCCUUAAGGUUGAGUCUGAUAAAGUAUUUGAGAGAGUUGGUGGCACAGCUACAGGAGGGGGAACAUUUUGGGGAUUAGGUUGUUUGCUCACUAAAAAGAAGGGCUUUGAUGAAUUGCUGCAACUUGCAGAAAGAGGAGAUCAUCGUAAUGUUGAUAUGUUAGUGAAAGACAUUUAUGGAGGUGAUUAUUCCUCACAAGGUUUAUCUGGAGAUCUUAUUGCAUCUUCUUUUGGCAAGGUUACUUAUUAUAGUGGUGAAGGAAAACCAAAUUUUUCUGAAGCAGAUCUUGCUAGAAGUCUUUUACUUACUGUAAGCAAUGAUAUUGGGCAAAUAGCAAGUUUAUAUGCAACUGUGCAUAAAAUGAAUAAAGUUUACUUUUGUGGUUAUUUUCUUCGUAAUCAUCCUUUGUCAAUGCAUACUAUUUCAUGUUCUAUCAAAUAUUGGUCAAAUGGUAAAGUAAAGCCUCUUUUCCUUCGCCAUGAAGGUUACGUUGGUGCAAUUGGAGCUUUCUUGUAUGGUGCUGGACAAUCUGAUGAAUGUAGUUGGCUGGAAAAUUAUGCAGGCUCUUCAGGAUUUAAAGAAUCAAUAUCUACUAAUCUUGGAAUUAAAGUAGAUCAAUUAGAAAUUGAUCAAGCAGAAACUGCUGUAACAUUUUGUCCACUUUUGAAAGAUCCUGCAACUUACAAUCCUGAUACAACUGAUCUUGCUGAAGAUAAAGAAGCAAGAGAUUAUUGGCUUCAAUGUUUUGAAGAAUCAGUGGAUAAAUUUGUGGCUAGAGCUAUUCAUAGUCAGCCACAUAGUCCAACUGCAAAAGAUAGAGCAACAAAAUUGAAGGAAAAGUACAUUAACAGAUUACAUUAUCUACAUCUUCAACCAUUCGCUUAUGGGACACUUACUGUGAGAGUAUUAUUGGAUACUAUUGAACAUUGCAUGAAAGAAUUCGAUUUUCCUGAUCCAUACUUACAUCAAAAGAAAAAAGAGAAUGAAGAAGCCUUAACAUAUCUAAAAAGUCGGAUAACAACUCUUGAUAAAUUGGAAGGAGCAGAAAAAAUAAAAGCUUUGAUCCUGGGAGUUCUGAGUGGUAAUAUGUUUGAUUGGGGUGCGCAAGCUGUCGCAAAUUUAAUGGAAACAACAGAUUUUGGUUUUGCCGAAGCUCAAGCAAAAAUACCGGGUAGACCUUGGUUGCAAGAUGACUUGGAUGAUUGGAUAGAAAGAUUGAAAACUGGUCCACCUCAUAAAUGUGCUGCUAUUUUCGUUGACAACAGUGGAGUUGAUAUAGUAUUGGGAAUUUUACCAUUUGCGCGUGAUUUAUUGCAACGAGGAACAAAAGUUAUACUGUGUGCUAAUUCUAUGCCAGCAUUAAAUGAUGUAACAUAUCCAGAGUUGGUUGUAACAUUACGAGAUGCAGCAAAAAUAUGCAAGGUUAUUAGACACGCUUUAAAAGAAAAUCGUUUAAUUGCUAUGGAGACAGCUCAAGCUGGCCCUUGUCUUGAUUUAAGCCGAUUGAACUUAGAUUUAUGUCUCGCGAUGGUGAAACAUAAAGUUGAUCUUAUCGUAUUAGAAGGAAUGGGUAGAACACUUCAUACGAAUCUUCAUGCAAAGAUGACUUGCGAAUGCUUAAAAUUAGCAGUUGUUAAAAAUCGAUGGUUAGCACUUCGAUUGGGUGGUGAUAUAUACGCUGUAAUAUGUAAAUAUGAACCGCCACCGACGAAAACUAAAAUUUGUGAUGUAAAAAUAAAAAUGAAAGAAGAAUGCCCAUCAGAAUGCAUGGAGAGUGCAACAGAUGUUUGCACGUGCGAUAUAAAGGAAUAAAUGAUGAAAACAAAUUCAAACUUGAUAUCUAAAAGUAUUUUACUUGUAUUUAGAUAUUUUGAAUAUGACAUGUAUUCGAAUGUAUUUGAAUAUGAAAAUUUUAGUAUUGACGAGAGAUAUUGAUGAAUGAUGACUAACACCUAGUCAAAAAUAAUAAAAUUAUGUUCUCCAUGAUUUAAAAAGGAGGCUUUAAUUUGAAGGAAAUAAUAGCGACCAAUUGUAACAAAUAUACAGACAUGUAUUAUAUAAUACUGUACAGUACAUUUUCUGUGAUAAUGUAACGUUCAAAUAGAAAGUUACAUAUUCGUGUAAAUUAAAGCAGUAAAUUGAUAGACAAUAUAAUAGAAUAAUAGAUAAAGCAGUUUAAGACAUUAAUGUUUUUGAUUUCGAAAUUUUUCGUAUAGAGAUGUAUCAUCUCGUGUCAAAUUAAAAAUUCUUUUAUCGAAUAUAUCUCUCUUUUCGUAUAAAAGGAAUCAAAAGAAAUAUUAGUUAUAUAAAAUUAGUGAUCAAGAUAUAUGUCGCUAAAAAUGACCAACUUAUUAGAAUACAUUUUUUUCGCAGAUUUUCUAAAAAGAACGAAAACGGAAAUGAUUAGAAAAAAAUUGUUGAAAUUUAAAAUGCCAUUAACAUAGUUUUCAAGUUAAAGAUUUCUAUCAACCAUUUGUUAAUGCUCAAUAUAUAUAGUAUAUGCGGUUUAUUAAUAUACACUGUCAUUUUCUUAACUAUGAACUUGAAAAUAU
This is an RNA transcript of Frieseomelitta varia, 3364 nucleotides long. It is a transcript of the gene named 4'-phosphopantetheine phosphatase, with no coding region annotated. The record is from RefSeq and is a predicted model, not a curated record. The transcript is spliced from 15 exons. NCBI's taxonomy places the organism in Eukaryota, Metazoa, Arthropoda, Insecta, Hymenoptera, Apidae.